GGCGGCCGAGGUGGAUGGACCGCUUAAACGGCUGCUCGUGCCGAUUCUUUUACCUGAGAAAUGCUACGACCAACUUUUCGUUCAGUGGGACUUGCUUCACGUCCCCUGCCUCAAGAUUCUCCUCAGCAAAGGCCUGGGGCUGGGCAUUGUGGCUGGCUCACUUCUAGCUGCCCCAGGUGUUUAAAAUCCUGGGAGCCAAGAGUGCCGAAGGGUUGAGUCUCCAGUCUGUAAUGCUGGAGCUAGUGGCAUUGACUGGGACCAUGGUCUACAGCAUCACUAACAACUUCCCAUUCAGCUCUUGGGGUGAAGCCUUAUUCCUGAUGCUCCAGACGAUCACCAUCUGCUUCCUGGUCAUGCAUUACAGAGGACAGACUGUGAAAGGUGUCGCUUUCCUCGCUUGCUACGGCCUGGUCCUUCUGGUGCUUCUCUCACCUCUGACGCCCUUGACUGUAGUCACCCUGCUCCAGGCCUCCAAUGUGCCUGCUGUGGUGGUGGGGAGGGUGGGUACCAGGAGCAAGGGACAAGAUGUUGGGGGGGCAGGGUGGAGGGGAAGAGUGGAAGAUCAAAGUGUGGGGGUGUUGGACUUGGGGGAGCAUGGGAAGAGCUCAGGUGACAGAGCCAAAGGUCUCAACUCCUCCCCUAGCUUCUCCAGGCAGCCACCAACUACCACAAUGGGCACACAGGCCAGCUUUCAGCCAUCACAGUCUUCCUGCUGUUUGGGGGCUCCCUGGCCCGAAUCUUCACUUCCAUUCAGGAAACCGGAGAUCCCCUAAUGGCUGGGACCUUUGUGGUCUCCUCUCUCUGCAACGGCCUCAUCGCCGCCCAGCUGCUCUUCUACUGGAAUGCAAAGCCUCCCCACAAGCAGAAAAAGGCGCAGUAGAGCCAGCUACUGGAGUCAUUCCAUUUCCACUCAUUCACCCAACC
This 924-nucleotide small RNA is filed under the name Pongo abelii (Sumatran orangutan). RNAcentral describes it as "retained intron". Lineage: Eukaryota; Metazoa; Chordata; Mammalia; Primates; Hominidae. The record is from RNAcentral.